AUAUUCUCGUCUGGUUACUGAUAACUACUAAUAACCACUAUAGUAAUCCUUUCAAAGUAGAAGCGAGCGUGCAGGUAUAAAUUCCAUACUGCACGUUAUUCGACGAUCACCGAGGUGUUCUUCACUCUUCUUCUUUGAUCGAGCUUGCUGCUGCUGCCUAGCACCCAACGGGCAACCCAUUCGCCACCCAUCGAUAUAUAGUACACGCAUCGACGUCGACCACGUUACUCGAAGCGAUUUUGCGUCGAUCCUUCCUUCUCUUCUGUCUUCUCCUCUCUUUUCUCCCCACUUCCUGUCACUCUUCCUGUUAUAUAUCGUACAGAGAGAUGUUGUUACUUUUAAAGGCUGUAUAUUCAAUAUUAAAAAGUUUGGACAGUU
Molecule: long non-coding RNA, 378 nt
Organism: Polistes dominula (European paper wasp)
Lineage: Eukaryota; Metazoa; Arthropoda; Insecta; Hymenoptera; Vespidae
Source: RefSeq, a predicted model, not a curated record